Molecule: non-coding RNA, 71 nt
Organism: Sarcophilus harrisii (Tasmanian devil)
Lineage: Eukaryota; Metazoa; Chordata; Mammalia; Dasyuromorphia; Dasyuridae
Source: Rfam
GCAUGGGUGGCUCAGUGGUAGAAUUCUUGCCUGCCAUGCAGGAGGCCUAGGUUUGAUUCCCAGUCUGUGCA